RNAcentral lists this ribosomal RNA (253 nucleotides) under uncultured bacterium. Its description in RNAcentral is "partial 16S ribosomal RNA". It matches the Rfam family "Bacterial small subunit ribosomal RNA", at positions 524 to 776 of the family's 1533-position model. The record is from RNAcentral.
UACGUAGGGGGCAAGCGUUGUCCGGAAUCAUUGGGCGUAAAGCGCGUGUAGGCGGCCUGAAAAGUCCGCUGUGAAAACUCGAGGCUCAACUUCGAGCUGUCGGUGGAAACUUUCUGGCUAGAGUCCGGAAGAGGAGAAUGGAAUUCCUGGUGUAGCGGUGAAAUGCGCAGAUAUCAGGAAGAACACCCGUGGCGAAGGCGGUUCUCUGGGACGGUACUGACGCUGAGACGCGAAAGCGUGGGGAGCGAACAGG